UUCCAGAUGACGAGUCCCAAAUAGGACGAAAUGCGCAGCCUGGAU
Molecule: non-coding RNA, 45 nt
Filed under: Trichobilharzia regenti
Lineage: Eukaryota; Metazoa; Platyhelminthes; Trematoda; Strigeidida; Schistosomatidae
Source: RNAcentral